This 84-nucleotide transfer RNA is filed under the name Arachnia propionica. RNAcentral's name for it is "Pseudopropionibacterium propionicum tRNA-Glu(ctc)". The record is from RNAcentral. Lineage: Bacteria; Bacillati; Actinomycetota; Actinomycetes; Propionibacteriales; Propionibacteriaceae. RNAcentral also lists the same sequence under 1 other name.
GGAUCCUGGCGACGGCCCUGCGCCCGUCGCGUUCUCAUCGCGACAAACUGAUCGGCUGGGGGAUCGUCGCCCCCUACGAUGCCC